GUCACCACAAACCCAUUCACCGGCUCUGUCUGGGUAGUCGGUCCGGCUCCCCUUCCUCUCCUCUUCCCUUACUUCCUCCCUCCAAAUGGGCUGCUGGCGGCGGGGGAGGGACCCUGGGGGCAGCUCAGAGCGCGCUGGUGCUCGGGAGGCGGAGGGAGAAAGAAGGAAGGGAGGCUGUGAGUGAGAGGCGGCGCGCAGGGAGGGAGCGAGGGAGGGAGGAAGGCGGAGGGAUAUUCGGACCGGACCUCUCCGCGGAGGCGCCGCGCUCCACGACGAUUGGCCGUUGUCCUGGCCACGCGGAAUCCCUAACUGGCCAGGCGCUCAGCGUCGAAGGGCCGUCUCGCGCCCAUUCGCCUGCUGGUUUCAAGGCCCGGGUUGGCUGGGCGGGCAGCGGAAUGGAGCGCGCGGAUUGGCCGAGGGGAGGGAGAUUGGGAUGGGGUAGGAGAGAGCCCGCCGUUGAUUGGGUGGGCUUGGUAAAGGCCUUGAGCUCAGACCGGCUGAGCGCUGGGAGGAGGGUGGACCGGAGGCACGACUCGGAUCCUGCGCGAUUGGCUGGGAUAGUAGGCGUUGAUAGGAUAGGGUGCCCGGGAGAACUAAGGAGAGGAGUUCGGGGUCGGGGCGCGGGAAGGCGGGAGGUGCCCGGCAACCCUAGGAGCCCGGCGCGGGGCACGAUGGGACGCCCCCGGGAAGAGGCGGAGCUGGGUUCGAGCGCUGGGGCUGCGGUUGGGAAACUACUGGAGGAUGUGGUGCACCAGAAUAAGAGAAUAAACCAAGAAACAGGAAGACGUGAUCCAGGCAACAGGAUAUUCCAGUAUAGUGUUGGAAACAGAAGCCCAGUAGUGAAAGCUACAGCUGCCAUAUACUUGCAGUGGAAUCACAGGAGCAAUCACAGGUCUUUAAUUUAAUUCUGGAGUGUGAGCAGGAACCAGUUAACUACAUUCAUUGUCCAACCCCCACUGGUUUGAAAGAAGACUCCAAAUUCUUGGCAUAUGAAUCAGCUGUUCGGUAGCUCCACCUUAUCCCUGCAGCGAAGCAGCAGAACCGCCAAUGGCGGCACCUCAGGAUUCACACUGUGGGUGGUGAGGCCUUCCGCUGAAGGAGGUACUGGUGGAUGCUCUCAGCAUCUCGCUUUAGCCAGGCAGCAUUCAGCAGAAUAUUUUCACAACACUGCUGGAUGGUACGCUCAGCUGAAGGAGCUGGGUGACUCUCGAAGAAAGCCUGGUAUAAAACAACCCAGAAUGCAGGAUCAUUACUAGCAAUAAGAAGUUAAUAUUACAGGUUAUGAAAAAAUACCCACUGGUCUAUAUGAAGGAUGCAUAAUCUUCAGGCAUGAGAAUUUACCACUGCCACCCUCAGGCUAAAAGAAAACAAGCAACUCCUUGGACCUGCAUAUAGGAAUUCUCCCCUUAAUUAUAUGCUUAACAACCUAAUCAAAAGUUAAUAAAGAGACAGAACCUACUGCCUUUCUUUUAGGCUAAUUGUGUAGUGGUAAAUAUAGUCUUUGGAAUGAAGACUUGGAACCUGAAUCCAGGCUUAGUCAUGUACUAGCUUGUGACUGUGAGAAAAUUAACUGCUCUAAGUCUCAGUUUUCUCAACUAUGAGAAAAUAUCUACUCCAGAAGAUUAAAGAGACAAUCCAUAUAAACAUUUGACAAAAUACCUAGCACAGAGUACUUAAGGAUUCAACACAUUUUGGCUGCUUCAAAUAAAGAUUAAUUUGUAAGGGAUGAUAAUACAAAGAAGUUUAAAUUGCUGCUAUGCCCUAAUAAUUUAACACCCCAUGGUCUUUUUUUUUUUUUUUUUUUUGAGACAGGGUCUCACUCUGUUGCCCAGGCUAGAGUGCAAUGAAACGAUCAUGGCUCAUCACAGCCUCAACCUUCUGGGCUCAAGUAAACCUCCCACCUUAACUUCCUGGGUAGCUGGGACCACAAGCGUGCACUCCCAGGCCAAAUUGUUUUUUCCUUUUUGUAGAGAUGGGGUCCUACCAUGUUGCCCAGACUGGUCUUGAACUCUUGAACUCAAGCAAUCCUCCCACCUCAGCCUCCCAAAAUGCUGGAAUUACAGGAAUCCAACAUUUUUAAUACAGUAAACCAAACAAUUUCUAAGUUUACAAUUUAUCACAAUGCUUAAUGAUUAAAAGUUGAAUAAACUUUUCUAAUGCAGUACACCUGGUUUCACAGAAAACAAAGCAACUCUUAAACACCAGCUGGCAAAAUGAUAGGGCUUUUCCUUUGAAUUAGUCACCACAGGUGUGAAAGACAGAAUGACUAAUCCAUCUGAUUAAACAUAGACCUUUUAGAAAUCAAUAACCUUAUUUACACAGAUGACAAUUGCUACUGUUCCAAGGCUCCUAAUCAUGGUUCAGUUCUCAGGGCCUCAAGUCUUUUUCCAUUCCAUCGCAGAGUAGUACCAACAUUUAUACACCAGAAACCUGGGGAUUAUCCUGGCUUGUUUUUCUUCCUCUCCCAGAUAUGCUCACAACAGAGAAGCCAAUCAAUAAAUAUUGUUGAACUAAAUGGUUAACAAAUUCAAGCCCCUGAAUCUCCAUUAUUCCAUCUCCUCCACUACUGCCACUACCCUACUGUAAGCUAUUCUAUCAUUCUUGCUAGGAGAGUUAGCUUCCCAACAUCUUCUCUUCCCCAUUCCAAACUAUUAUCCACAUUGCAGCCAGACUGAAAUUUUUAUAACACAAAUCAGAUCAAGGCACUGCCUUGUUUAUAAACCAUUCGAAGGCUUUCCAUUUUUAGGACUUUUUUUUUUUUUUUUUUUUUUGAGACAGGAGUCUCGCUCUGUCACCCAGGCUGGAGUGCAAUGGCACGAUCUCAGCUCACUGCAACCUCCACCUCCCGGGCUCAAGCAAUUCUCCUGCCUCAGCCUCCCGAGUAGCUGGGAUUAGAGGCGUGCACCACCAUGUCCAGCUAAUUUGGGGUUUCACCAUGUUGCCCGGGCUGGUCUUGAAGUCCUGACCUCAGGUGAUCCACCCACCUCGGCCUCCCAAAGUGCUGAGAUUACAGAUGUGAGCUACCAUGCCUGGCCAUUUUUAGGAAAUUCUUAAUAUGGCCUAUACAGCCCUGCAUGAUGUCUUUCUCUAAACAAAAACACAGAGAUGCUACAGUACAUUAUCCCAACACUAUAAUUACAACCAGGUUAUUGUUUUUACUUACUAGACUGAAAAGUGAAGAGUAAACAGUAUUUUCCUUACCUUAACCUCUCCAGCCAUUUUAUCAACUGCAAAUCCCUCAACUGAUAGCUGCAAAACAAUGGUUUUAAACAGUAAGUGAAACCAAGAGGCUGAGAACAAACUUCCAUUUACCCUAAAAAUAAAUCAUUCUGUUCUCUGCCAACUUCAGUCUGUUAUAAAGGAUGUGUGAUGGGAGAUGGAGAAGUCCUUAAAUAAAGCCAGUAACUAUUUAAGGAAACUUUUUUUUUUUUGAGACGGAGUUUCACACUUGUUGCCCAGGCUGGAGUGCAAUGACCUCAUCUCGGCUCACCACAACCUCUGCCUCCCAGGUUCAAGCGAUUCUCCUGCCUCAGCCUCCCAAGUAGCUGGGAUUACAGGCACACACCACCACGCUCAGCUAAUUUUUGUAUUUUUAGUAGGGACAGGAUUUCACCAUGUUGGCCAGGAUAGUCUCGAACUCCCGACCUCAGGUGAUCUGCCCACCUCGGCGUCCCAAAGUGCUGGUAUUACAGGCGUGAGCCACUGCACCUGGCCACAGGAAACAUUUAAAGAGCAAAGACCACAAUGUAUGGGUGUAGUGAAUCAUGGAUGUCACUAAAUAAUAUCCAUGAUUAGCAAGCUACUCAAAGUUUUUCACAUACCUUUAUUAGUCUGGAUAUUAAGAAUCCUCCCUGGUAUCGGUUAUAAAGUUCUUCCCAGUUGUCCUUUAUGAAUUUCCAAGCAGCUUUCCUACCAUGCUUGCUGCCUCCAGCUACUCCACCAAUUACCGAUACAGUGUCCUGUGGACGUACCUCUUCCUAAAAAAAGAAAGAGAGCUAAAAGUCUAGUGUAUCAAAAACAUAUUCUGGUACCAGAAAGUGCACCAUACUGUGACACUGAAGUAAUCACACUGAAGACACUUAUUCCUUGUUUUAGGAAUAACUGGAACCAGAAGUUCUCAGCAAAGAAGAUAAUGUUUAAGCUAAAGAUAACCAAAAUGAGAAUGAGGUACUGAGACAGGUUCAGACAGACAGACUGCUCAACAGAUACUUGCUUAGGAGCCUAUAGGUUUAAGAAAGGAAGAGACACAAAGUAAGCAAAGGCAUAAGCCAGUUUCCCAGUUUUCAAGAGUCCCUGUCCUCAUAGUUUCCAUUCUGGAGAGACAAUUUGUUUACUCUCCCAACUAUUCUGAUUCUCGCCACUAGUGGGAGAAAAACAGAAGUCAGUAACAAAAACUCAAGCCAGUUACUCUGGAAAAGGAAGCUUUAGUUAGGGUUAAGGCAGCUCAAGAGGAUCAGAGCUGAAUCAGAGACACUUCUCAGAGAUGGGUAACGAUUCACUUCUAAAUGCAGUUUUCACCGUAACUUACUGAAAGUGCAAACGUGAGGACUUUUUGAAUCAGGUCAGGCAAAAGAGUAGCGCCAAGGACUCUUUCGAUUCGGUUUUUCUCUUCUUGCAUAUCUGCUUGUUUAUGAAGCUACAGGAAAAAAGAUAAAGAUAGGAAUAGUUAACUCUCCCUUGGAUGUUCUGCAUAUGAUUAUAUGAGCUUCUUCCCCAGUAAGGUAAAACUUAGGUUCUAUAUUCUCACUAGGUAAGAAUGGCAGGGCAUUAUAUUAAAGAAAGAGAAUACUUUUCAAGAUGCUUUGGGCCAGGUGCGGUGGUUCACACCUGUAAUCCCAGCACUUUGGGAGGCCGAGGCGGGUGGAUCACCUGAGGUCAAGAGUUCGAGAUCAGCCUGGCCAACAUGGUGAAACCCUGUUUCUACUAAAAAUACAAAAAAAAAAAAUUAGCCGGGCGUGGUGGUGCCCACCUGUAAUCCCAGCUACUUGGGAGGCCGAGGCGGGAGAAUCGCUUGAACCUGGGAGGUUGCAGUGAGCUGAGAUCGUGCCACUGCACUCCAGUUUGGGCAAGAGAGCGAGACUCUGUCUCAAAAAUAAAAGAAAAAAAAAAUGAUGCUUUGGCACUAAAUUUGUCAUCUGCUGUUACAGUAAGUAAAUCACUAGAUGUAAAUGCUACCAGAUGAACAGCCUGUCAUUAGUUCAGACCAGUUUAACAUCAAGAUCUAAGAGGUAAAAUCUAUCAUAGCCAAAUUCUUUACAUCAUUGAUAUCUGGCUAAUGUUCUGUUUUAGAAGAACAAACUAAUCAUUAGUGUUCUUAUACCAGAUCAUCAAAUUAAUUUAUAAUAGUGAAAAAUUGAAAAUGAAUACUGUACUUAUAAAAAUGCAUUAUUGAAAGUUAUAUUUUAAGAAUAUAUCAUAAACAUGUUCUUAUAUUUAAGUGAAGAAAGCAGACAAAGCAGAAUUAUCCUAAAAAAUAUAUAUAUAUAUAUGGCUGGGCACAGUGGUUCACGCCUGUAAUCCUAGCACUUUGGAAGGCUGAGGUGGAGGUUGCAGUGAGCCCAUAUCGUACCACUGCACUCCAGUCUGGACAACAGAGCAAGACUGUGUUUCCAAAAAAAGGGGGUGGGGGAGAACCCCUGGAAAUACAUCAAAAUGGUAGUAUUAAUUAAUGAUGGUUUCUGAUCAGUGGGAUUAUGCAUCUUCACACUUUUUAACUGCAAAAGCAGCACAUACUGAAUGCAGAAUAUCUGAAAGACAGAGAAGCAUAAAGAAAAAAAUAAAAUUACUACUAUAUGUACAUUAACAAAUCUGGAAAGAGAGCAUGUUAUACAUGCUGUUUUUGCUACCUGCUUUCUAAACUAUAGGUAAGUUUUAUUUUCCUCUUUAUACUUUUCUAGUCUCUAAAUCUUCCAUAGUAUAUAUGUAUAUAAAAUCUUUUCAUAGAAACAAAAUGUUGUAAUUCUUAAAAAUUAGAACUAUAAAUGUAUAAGAGCUAUGUCUCCAAGACAAUUUAGACUCUUUUGAUCUUUUCUACCCCUUAAGAUUUAACACUGACCAGAGUGUCUGGAGACCUCAUCAAAGCUCUCAGUUUCCUCUUCCUUUCGACACUUUUUUUUUUUUCAAUAAACAAUUUUAAUUUAUAAGAAGUAGAGAUGGGGUCUCGCUGUGUUGACCAGGCUGGUCUCUUUUUUUUUUUUUUUUGAGAUGGAGUCUCGCUCUGUUGCCCAUGCUGGAGUGCAAUGGUGUUACCUCAGCUCACUACAACCACGCCUAGCUAAUUUUUCUUUUCUUUUUUUUUUUUUGAGACGGAGUCUUACUCUGUCACCCAGGCUGGAGUGCAAUGGCACAAUAUCGGCUCACCACAACCUCCACCUCCCAGGUUCAAGCAAUGCUCCUGCCUCAGCCUCCUGAGUAGCUGGGACUACAGGCGCCCGCCACCACACCCGGCGAAUUUUUGUAUAUUUAGUAGAGACAGGGUUUCACCAUUUGGGCCAGGCUGGUCUUGAACUCCUGACCUUGUGAUCCACACCCGCCUCGGCCUCCCAAAGUGCUGGGAUUGCAGGCGUGAGCCACCGCGCCUGGCCUAAUUUUUCUAUUUUUAGUAGAGCCGGAGUUUCUCCAUGUUGCCCAGGCUGGUCUUGAACUCCUGGCCUCAAGUGAUCCUCCCAUCCAAAGUGCUGGGAUUACAGGCAUGAACCACCACGCCUGGCCCCUUUGGACUCUAAGCAGCAGUGCAGUAAAAUAGACAGGACCUUGGGAGAUCUGGGUUCUAGUCCCAGUUUUGCCUCUAACUAGCUGUGUGAUCUUGACUAAGUCCUUCAUCCCUCUGGGUCUCAGUUUCCCCAUGUGUAAAAUGAGAUGGGUGGACAGAUAAUUUCUAAGGCCCUUUUCAGCUCCAAUAU
RNAcentral lists this long non-coding RNA (6902 nucleotides) under Homo sapiens (human). Its description in RNAcentral is "non-protein coding lnc-OSBPL7-3:1". The record is from RNAcentral. Lineage: Eukaryota; Metazoa; Chordata; Mammalia; Primates; Hominidae.